Molecule: unclassified non-coding RNA, 191 nt
Filed under: fungal sp.
Lineage: Eukaryota; Fungi
Description: partial internal transcribed spacer region
Rfam family: Eukaryotic small subunit ribosomal RNA (bases 1-46)
Source: RNAcentral
AAGUCGUAACAAGGUUUCCGUAGGUGAACCUGCGGAAGGAUCAUUAACACGUAUCCAACGUUAAACCCCCCCGUGCACCUUCAAACACCAUACAGCGCUUCGUGACCCAUCUUGUGUCGGGAUUGAUGGUCGGAAAACCUUCCAGAGCUGGAAUACCCGAACAACUGUUAACAAUGGAUAUCUUGGCUCUC